RNAcentral lists this transfer RNA (85 nucleotides) under Myxococcaceae bacterium. RNAcentral's name for it is "tRNA-Pro". The record is from RNAcentral. Lineage: Bacteria; Pseudomonadati; Myxococcota; Myxococcia; Myxococcales; Myxococcaceae.
UCUCGGGCGGCGGGGUUCCGCCUACUCCCCCUUCGGGGGGGGGAGAUCCCGGAGGCCGAGCGCGCGGCGGCGCUCCGCCAGGCCC